UUUAGAUCAAGGUCACAUUUGCAAAAGCUCUGUUGCCAGAACAGAUGCAGGCAUGUUCUGUGCAGCAUACUCCCUGCAAGCUGUAUUUCAAAAUGCUGCAUAACACACUUGCUCUGUCUUGGGGUGUCCGCACUAGGCCUUUCUUGUGUAUUGCAGCAGGGAUGUUUCGGAGCACUCCCGGCUUGCAGGCACCACACCCAGUAGUGCAGCUGUGAUGUCACUUAAGAGGCUCUUGUGACCUCACUCUCUGGAGCACUUAAGAACUGAUGCUAUGGACGGCCUCAGAGCAGCUUUGUCCCACUUGCAAGCAGGAGUGGUUGGAUGGGAUGUAGCUAGGUGUGUCCCUGCCAGACUACACUAAGGAUAUAUCCAGAAAGAAGACUGCCUGACUUGCUUUCUGUCUGGCACCUCUGAACCACAGCCCACAGAAGUGCUGUUAGUCUCCAGAGACCAUUAUCCUCAGUCAGUUUAUUCUUCUGUAAGUUAUUCAUAGGGGGAAUGUGCUGCCCAGGUAUCAAAUAUCUCAGCCUCUGUGGCCUAUGCACAUUUGUCACGGACACUCUCACUCGGUGGGAGCCAACCUUUUAGCUCCCCUGGACAUAACCUGGAUGCUCCA
Molecule: long non-coding RNA, 616 nt
Organism: Gavialis gangeticus (Gharial)
Lineage: Eukaryota; Metazoa; Chordata; Crocodylia; Gavialidae
Exons: 3
Source: RefSeq, a predicted model, not a curated record